UCCUUGAUGACUAUGUAAUUGUUCAACAAUGUCCAAAAUGCAAGAAAUUUGAACCCCUUUUACCAAAAGACUCAACCUUUAACUAGGGAUACACACAAAAAGAGAUAAAAUCAAAAACCAAUAAAGACUCAAACUUUCUUAUUAUCUUUCAGAAACCCAAACAGAGCAUUACCUAAACAGUGAAAUAGGAAAUGCCCAAUUUGAAAUUGAUCCAAAUUACCUUAAAAAUGCUAAAGCUAGAAGAUCAAGAAGCUGAAUAAAUCUUCAAAGGUUCAAUCUUUUUUGGAAAAUUUUCAAGAAUGUGAGAAGUGAGAAUAAUUUUGGGGGGCACCGGGGCUAAUUUUUUUUCAACAAUAGUGUGGAUUCUUUACCAGUAGAAAGAAUCAAAAAGCAAAAUGGUCAAUGAAGAAAAGCUUAUAUAAUUACUUACAUGGCAUGGAAGGAUUUUUUUAUUUUUUUUAAUAUAAUUAUUAUUAUUAUCCUCCCUGCAUUUCCCGGAAUUGGAUAUCGGAAAAUUCAAAGUUGUAUCCGGUUUAUUCGCCGGUUUUUAAAAGUUUUCCGAUAGAAAUGUCGAUGAGGGAGAAAGAGAAGGUGAAGAGUGGAAUAAGCGGAAUUAUAGCCGUUGC
Molecule: long non-coding RNA, 626 nt
Filed under: Nicotiana benthamiana
Lineage: Eukaryota; Viridiplantae; Streptophyta; Magnoliopsida; Solanales; Solanaceae
Description: long non-coding RNA (NBEN_LNC037933)
Source: RNAcentral